RNAcentral lists this long non-coding RNA (1679 nucleotides) under Mytilus galloprovincialis (Mediterranean mussel). Lineage: Eukaryota; Metazoa; Mollusca; Bivalvia; Mytilida; Mytilidae. The record is from RNAcentral.
CCUGAACCAAUUCAAAACUGUAGAGCUUUGCAUGAUAUACAAUGUAUGUAUUCAUUUAAAAAGUCUCUCUCCUCUACACUAAAAUACACAUGUAAACGAAAUUUGAUACAGAUGUGUGGUGUCAAAGUCCAUAUUGUUAGAUGGCUUUUUUUUUAGACAAAAAAGCAAUGCAGUGGAUACUACAAAUGAACAAAUAAACAUAAUCGAUUACAGAAAAAAAACACAGAAAGAUGUGGUAUGGUUGACAAUGUGACAACUGUUAACUAGUUCCGUGAACGUAAUUUCUAUGAAAGCUUUCUUAUAUUAAUUUGACGAAGGAUAUAGGACUUAAAUUAAAUCAACAUGUUUUACUUCCUGUCUCAAGCGUUCACCGAUAAUUAAUUUUUAAUUCAAUCAUCUUUUUUGAGUUUCAAUAUCAACUUCCAAAUAUGAUGCAUUAACAUUUUUGUUUAACAUUACAGUCCUUUUUCAACUUUCUACAAUGCAAUUUUAUGAUGUAAAUGUCAAUCCUCCAACCAUCAUUUUGUCUACUGCUGUAUUCUAACAAUUACACUUGUAUUUAUUUUAUUUAAGAUAUAUGAAUACGUAUUUGAUUGGUAGCAGUAAAGAAUUUAACCAAUAAGAAGGAUGUUAAAGCGUGUGGCUUAUGCAUUAACUAGUUACAAAUAGUAUUGCAUUAUUUUGAAUAAACAGAAGUAAUAAUGGUAAUUGUAAACAAUGCAAGCAUCAUUUGGUAUCUAUUCUCUGAUACUCAUUUAAUAUUGUUAAAAAACCCAAACCAUUCUGAUGUACAAAAAGUAAGAAAAUCCAAUGGCGGUCAAUUAGUUCCAUUAACAUCAAGAAAUGUUUGCAUUCUUAUUCAACAUAAAAAAAUUAUUAACAACGUAUUUCAAAUAAAAAGAAAAAAAAAAAGAAAAAUAAUGAAAUAAUAUAUUAUGCGUGAAAUGUAAUUUAUAUAUUUGUUAAUGUGUUGUGUUAGGUUACUGAUGGAUUAAGAAAAAACAAGAUGAACCAGAACUAAACACAUUAUCUGAAUAGAUCAAAGCUAUUCGUUUUUGCAUUUAAAAACGCAUUCAGAAACUACUAUACACUGUGGGCACAUGACUUUCUAUCAAAUUCAAGAACCCGGCAGUUGUAGAUGCUUUAUACUCUUUGCAUGACAAAUAUGUCGUUGUUCCAGCAGAUAAAGUGUUCAGUAAUAGAGUCUUCGUAUGUGAAAACCAUUAAUUGAAAUGUCUCAUACAAUAGCUUUGAUAAACAACAAUUUGAAAACAGUUUUUCUUACGUAUUCUUAAACAUCAUUUAUAAGGGAUGAAAUUUUACAAAAUCACCAAUCUGUCCGUCUUUCGUUUGAUAUUACCAUGAAUGAAAACGAAGAAAAUCUACCGUUAUUAUAAUGGAAACUUAAAAAAUAAUCGUUAUAACGAACGAUUAAAACCUGGAUUAUCAAGAUGUUAAAAACUACAGUCCAAUUCAAUUAUCUAGAUUUAUAUUAGCAGGCAAAAUCGAGGGAAAUGUGCAAAUGAUGAUACAAGCAUGAAAAUUACCACAAAGCAUCAUUAUUAUAUACUUUUUAAAACAACUGCUGGCCAUUAAAAAAAUCAUUUUUUCAAGAUGGCCACGGCCUUUUUCUAAAAUGGCUGUUUUUACAGUCUGAAAAUCGUGAUUUUUUUCUGGGA